This 29-nucleotide non-coding RNA is filed under the name unclassified sequences. The record is from RNAcentral.
CUAUGAUGUAAUAAUCAUGGCGGAAGGAG